UUAAAGCACUCGCCAGGUUCCACCUCCGCCAAUUAUUGACAGGGAGCGUGCCGGAAGCUUACGACGUUGGUUGGUGAAAUAAAUUACCAGCAAUAAUUCCUCCCCUGCCCACCAAUAACGAGAUAAGAAAGCAGCGGUCCCUACUUGCCAAAAAAGAUUCGCUGUCCGGGUCCACCUCCGUGCGUGACGACGUGGUUAACUUGAUCAUCGACAGGCCCAUCUCAGCCGUCCGUCUAUCUCUUCGCCAUGUUUCGACCGUGCGUGACGGCGGGAUUAACUUCACCGUCGAACUCCUUGACACCGCUGACGAGGAAAGAGAGGGACAGCAAUGAGAACGCCGAUUCAUUCCACCAACGGCCACUUCCCAAAUCCCCAUCCCGAUAGAAAGAGAGAGAAGAAACCGACGCAAACAUCUGCUUCUCCCUCCCGGCCACUGACGGGCUCGGAGUCGCACUCAUCGCCUUCUCAAUCGGCGCCGGCCCCUAUACCUGCUGCCAUAUAUCUAGGUCCUCUUACUGCCAUUCUCAAUUCGAGUAAAAUUCCCUUUGAUUGUCAACUCACUGAUAUCGAUGAGCAGUGAAAUACUUGAAGAGGGGCUCUUCCAGCGACUGGAGCGCCACCAAGAGUCGACAUCAUCAACGUCUCCAUUAGAAGCCGGAGAGUAAUGAUCCAAGCAAACCGAGCCGCUAAAGAGACAGAGAGCUUAAGUCGCGAAGGGGAGCAGCAAAGUGUUGAGCGAGACGAAGAGGAGGUGAGGCAUGAUAAACAAAGAACAAUGGCCAGAGAGCUCAAGUGGAGAAGGGGAGGAGCGAAGUGCUGAGCGAGACGAAGAGGAGGUGAGGCCGAAGAACAAUGGAAUUUUAGUCCCACAUCACUAAAUAUAAUUCUCCGACUGCAACUGAGAACCUUAAAAGAAGGAAGGAUACUAUCAUACAAUUCAUACCUUUCUCGGCCUUUUGGCUAAGAUCAAGUGUAGUAUAUGUUCUUAUCAGUUUAAUAUCUGAUAUGUGGAUCAUUGGUUCACUAUGAUA
Zingiber officinale is the source of this 1031-nucleotide long non-coding RNA. RefSeq lists it as uncharacterized. The record is from RefSeq and is a predicted model, not a curated record. The transcript is spliced from 2 exons. Lineage: Eukaryota; Viridiplantae; Streptophyta; Magnoliopsida; Zingiberales; Zingiberaceae.